RNAcentral lists this unclassified non-coding RNA (758 nucleotides) under Leishmania donovani. Its description in RNAcentral is "gene:LdHU3.36.4300(CDS-product:hypothetical_prote in_conserved)". The record is from RNAcentral. Lineage: Eukaryota; Euglenozoa; Kinetoplastea; Trypanosomatida; Trypanosomatidae.
CGGCUACUCCAGCAUAAACGAGCCUGCCCGUAUGAGCGGCACGUGCUCCACUGCUUAACGCAAGAGGAACCCGUAUCGAUUAUUUUUUUCUUGCUCUUCUGUUCGUAUCAUCACGACUGCCAAAGCGCCGCUGAUGUUUGUCAUUCAGUGGUACACGGCCGCGCUCAUCCUCGCGGAUGUGUACGAGCUGCUUCAGCUGCGGCAGGCCAAUCCGAAAGGCUUAGAGCAUGGCACCUGGUGGUUCGACAGCAAGGCUAACGCGCCGCUUGCGGCAGCAUUGUAUGGUGGCCUGCUCGUGUUCUUGAUGCUUUCACGUCUGUUUGUGUUGCUAGAGCCACUGAACCGGUGGCUGCUGAUGCUCAACACAAUCCAUGAGGGCAUCCGCCUGGUGCUCUACUUGCUCCUUUUUACUCAGCACAGUGGUGCGACGCAGCUCAACACGAUCCUUCUGACAUUCACGUUGUGGAACACGCUUCUGUACGGGCGACAGUACUACAUCAUCAUGUGUAUGCUGCGGGAGCACAGCAAGUGACGCUAUCCCCCUCCCCCGUAUUGGUCGUACACACGCACGCAUGGAAGCCGCUGCGCGCCAUGUGUGUGCGUGUGUGGAGGGAGGGAGAUGAACCGUGUUGACGUCGCGCAGUGUCGAUGGCAAGCUCGCACCCUUCGAUAGCCUUGGCUCUUCGUGUUUCUACUUGUACGUGUACUGCUUCUCCCGUGGGCGCGGGGCUCAUGCCAUGCGGAUAGGCAAGAAAAAU